RNAcentral lists this ribosomal RNA (764 nucleotides) under Bacillus stratosphericus. RNAcentral's name for it is "bacterial SSU rRNA". It matches the Rfam family "Bacterial small subunit ribosomal RNA", at positions 445 to 1214 of the family's 1533-position model. Lineage: Bacteria; Bacillati; Bacillota; Bacilli; Caryophanales; Bacillaceae. The record is from RNAcentral.
AAGAGUAACUGCUUGCACCUUGACGGUACCUAACCAGAAAGCCACGGCUAACUACGUGCCAGCAGCCGCGGUAAUACGUAGGUGGCAAGCGUUGUCCGGAAUUAUUGGGCGUAAAGGGCUCGCAGGCGGUUUCUUAAGUCUGAUGUGAAAGCCCCCGGCUCAACCGGGGAGGGUCAUUGGAAACUGGGAAACUUGAGUGCAGAAGAGGAGAGUGGAAUUCCACGUGUAGCGGUGAAAUGCGUAGAGAUGUGGAGGAACACCAGUGGCGAAGGCGACUCUCUGGUCUGUAACUGACGCUGAGGAGCGAAAGCGUGGGGAGCGAACAGGAUUAGAUACCCUGGUAGUCCACGCCGUAAACGAUGAGUGCUAAGUGUUAGGGGGUUUCCGCCCCUUAGUGCUGCAGCUAACGCAUUAAGCACUCCGCCUGGGGAGUACGGUCGCAAGACUGAAACUCAAAGGAAUUGACGGGGGCCCGCACAAGCGGUGGAGCAUGUGGUUUAAUUCGAAGCAACGCGAAGAACCUUACCAGGUCUUGACAUCCUCUGACAACCCUAGAGAUAGGGCUUUCCCUUCGGGGACAGAGUGACAGGUGGUGCAUGGUUGUCGUCAGCUCGUGUCGUGAGAUGUUGGGUUAAGUCCCGCAACGAGCGCAACCCUUGAUCUUAGUUGCCAGCAUUUAGUUGGGCACUCUAAGGUGACUGCCGGUGACAAACCGGAGGAAGGUGGGGAUGACGUCAAAUCAUCAUGCCCCUUAUGACCUGGGC